GAUGAACGCUGGCGGCGUGCUUAAUACAUGCAAGUCGAACGGACAGGCGGGGAUCUUGCUGGUCGCACGUGAGGGGCGGGCGGGUGAUUCACAGGUGGAUACCCUGCCUAGAGGGCUGGCAUAACGUCGGCAAACCGAAUCUAACACCCGACCAGAUGUUGAACCCGGGGGAUCGAUAGGCAAAGCCGUAUUUGAUGGCCCGAAUAGAGGUAUCCUCGCCGGAUUGGCUAGUUGGUAAGGUAACGGCUUACCAAGGCGACGAUGCGUAGCCGACCUGAGAGGGUGAUCGGCCACACUGGAACUGAGACACGGCCCAGACUCCUACGGGAGGCAGCAGUAGGGAAUUUUGCGCAAUGGGCGCAAGCCUGACGGAGCCACGCCGCGUGCGUGAUGAAGGUCUUCGGAUCGUAAACCUCUGUUAUUAGGGAAGAAAACCUGUGUACGUAAAUAUGGAGGUCUUGACGGUACCUAAUGAGAAAGCAACGGCUAACUACGUG
Molecule: ribosomal RNA, 497 nt
Filed under: uncultured bacterium
Lineage: Bacteria
Description: partial 16S ribosomal RNA
Rfam family: Bacterial small subunit ribosomal RNA
Source: RNAcentral